This 497-nucleotide ribosomal RNA is filed under the name uncultured bacterium. Its description in RNAcentral is "partial 16S ribosomal RNA". It matches the Rfam family "Bacterial small subunit ribosomal RNA", at positions 28 to 507 of the family's 1533-position model. The record is from RNAcentral.
GAUGAACGCUGGCGGCGUGCCUAAUACAUGCAAGUCGAGCGAUCAGACGAGGAGCUUGCUCCUCUGACGUUAGCGGCGGACGGGUGAGUAACACGUGGAUAACCUACCUAUAAGACUGGGAUAACUUCGGGAAACCGUAGCUAAUACCGGAUAAUAUUUUGAACCGCAUGGUUCAUUAGUGAAAGACGGUAUUGCUGUCACUUAUAGAUGGAUCAGCGCCUCAUUAGCUAGUUGGUAAGGUAAGGGCUUACCAAGGCGCCGAUGCGUAGCCGACCUGAGAGGGUGAUCGGCCACACUGGAACUGAGACACGGUCCAGACUCCUCCGGGAGGAAGCAGUAGGGAAUCUUCCGCAAUGGGCGAAAGCCUGACGGAGCACCGCCGCGUGAGUGAUGAAGGUUUUCGGAUCGUAAACUUCGGUUAUUAGGGAAGACCAAAUGUGUAAGUAAAUAUGCACACCUUGACGGUACCUAAUCAGAAAGCCACGGCUAACUACGUG